ACCUGUGAAGUAUUAAUAGUUAACGUGCUUGGCUGCUAACCAAAAGGUUGGAGGUUUGAGUCCACCCAGAGGUG
Molecule: transfer RNA, 74 nt
Filed under: Loxodonta africana (African savanna elephant)
Lineage: Eukaryota; Metazoa; Chordata; Mammalia; Proboscidea; Elephantidae
Rfam family: tRNA
About the family: Transfer RNA (tRNA) molecules are approximately 80 nucleotides in length.
Source: Rfam by way of RNAcentral